This 1360-nucleotide ribosomal RNA is filed under the name Rothia nasimurium. RNAcentral describes it as "bacterial SSU rRNA". It matches the Rfam family "Bacterial small subunit ribosomal RNA", at positions 71 to 1439 of the family's 1533-position model. The record is from RNAcentral. Lineage: Bacteria; Bacillati; Actinomycetota; Actinomycetes; Micrococcales; Micrococcaceae.
UGACUAAACUUGCUGGGUGGAUUAGUGGCGAACGGGUGAGUAAUACGUGAGUAACCUGCCUUUAACUCUGGGAUAAGCCUUGGAAACGAGGUCUAAUACCGGAUACGACCAGUUCCCGCAUGGGAUGCUGGUGGAAAGGGAUAUGUACUGGUUUUAGAUGGGCUCACGGCCUAUCAGCUUGUUGGUGAGGUAACGGCUCACCAAGGCGACGACGGGUAGCCGGCCUGAGAGGGUGACCGGCCACACUGGGACUGAGACACGGCCCAGACUCCUACGGGAGGCAGCAGUGGGGAAUAUUGCACAAUGGGCGCAAGCCUGAUGCAGCGACGCCGCGUGAGGGAUGACGGCCUUCGGGUUGUAAACCUCUUUCAGCAGGGAAGAAGCGAAAGUGACGGUACCUGCAGAAGAAGCGCCGGCUAACUACGUGCCAGCAGCCGCGGUAAUACGUAGGGCGCGAGCGUUGUCCGGAAUUAUUGGGCGUAAAGAGCUUGUAGGCGGUUUGUCGCGUCUGCUGUGAAAGCCCGGGGCUUAACCCCGGGUUUGCAGUGGGUACGGGCUAACUAGAGUGCAGUAGGGGAGACUGGAAUUCCUGGUGUAGCGGUGAAAUGCGCAGAUAUCAGGAGGAACACCAAUGGCGAAGGCAGGUCUCUGGGCUGUAACUGACGCUGAGAAGCGAAAGCAUGGGGAGCAAACAGGAUUAGAUACCCUGGUAGUCCAUGCCGUAAACGUUGGGCACUAGGUGUGGGGGACAUUCCACGUUUUCCGCGCCGUAGCUAACGCAUUAAGUGCCCCGCCUGGGGAGUACGGCCGCAAGGCUAAAACUCAAAGAAAUUGACGGGGGCCCGCACAAGCGGCGGAGCAUGCGGAUUAAUUCGAUGCAACGCGAAGAACCUUACCAAGGCUUGACAUAUACCGGACCGCUCUAGAGAUAGAGUUUCCCUUCGGGGCUGGUAUACAGGUGGUGCAUGGUUGUCGUCAGCUCGUGUCGUGAGAUGUUUGGGUUAAGUCCCGCAACGAGCGCAACCCUCGUUCUAUGUUGCCAGCACGUAAUGGUGGGGACUCAUAGGAGACUGCCGGGUCACUCGGAGAGAAGGGUGGGGAUGACGUCAAAUCAUCAUGCCCCUUAUGUCUUGGGCUUCCGCAUGCUACAUGGCCGGUACAAAGGGUUGCGAUACUGUGAGGUUGAGCUAAUCCCAAAAAGCCGGUCUCAGUUCGGAUUGGGGUCUGCAACUCGACCCCAUGAAGUCGGAGUCGCUAGUAAUCGCAGAUCAGCAACGCUGCGGUGAAUACGUUCCCGGGCCUUGUACACACCGCCCGUCAAGUCACGAAAGUUGGUAACACCCGAAGCCGAUGCUCAGUA